Molecule: ribosomal RNA, 520 nt
Filed under: uncultured Glomus
Lineage: Eukaryota; Fungi; Glomeromycota; Glomeromycetes; Glomerales; Glomeraceae
Description: SSU rRNA
Rfam family: Eukaryotic small subunit ribosomal RNA
Source: RNAcentral
AGCAGCCGCGGUAAUUCCAGCUCCAAUAGCGUAUAUUAAAGUUGUUGCAGUUAAAAAGCUCGUAGUUGAAUUUCGGGAUCAGUACGCUGGUCGUGCCUUUGGUAUGUACUGGUGUCACUGAUUCCUCCCUUCUGAAGAACCGUUAUGCCAUUUAUUUGGUGUGGCGGGAAAUCAGGACUGUUACUUUUAAAAAAUUAGAGUGUUUAAAGCAGGCUCGCGCUUGAAUACAUUAGCAUGGAAUAAUGAAAUAGGACGUUUGAUCUUAUUUUGUUGGUUUCUAGGAUCGACGUAAUGAUUAAUAGGGAUAGUUGGGGGCAUUAGUAUUCAAUUGUCAGAGGUGAAAUUCUUGGAUUUAUUGAAGACUAACUACUGCGAAAGCAUUUGCCAAGGAUGUUUUCAUUAAUCAAGAACGAAAGUUAGGGGAUCGAAGACGAUCAGAUACCGUCGUAGUCUUAACCAUAAACUAUGCCGACUAGGGAUCGGAUGAUGUUAAUUUUUUAAUGUACUCAUUCGGCGCCUU